GCCACAGAUGGCUCUGAGUGCUUUGGAAAAUGAGGCUGACCUGGAUUUCCACACUCCUCAAGAGAACAGAAUGCAAGUGACCAGCAGUAACACUUUCUUCUCUUCUUUCCAGAAAAAAAAGAGAAGAGAAGAGAAGAGAAGAGAAGAGAAGAGAAGAGAAGAGAAGAGAAGAGAAGAAAGAAGCACUGACCUAUUAAAAAGGAAGAAAACUGGCUUGUGCUGGAUGGCGCGUCCCCUGAGGUUUGGACACAUCGACUACAGAACACAGAAGAGCAGAGAGCCAGGAAACCCAGGAGUAAGCACAGCUGGAGUCUGUAAAGUUCUCCCUUCUUUGAUUCAGAGAGAAACAAGUAAGCAGUUGCCCUACUGCUCCAGCUGUUCGUUUCUGUUGUCUGGAAUGUAUAAU
Molecule: long non-coding RNA, 406 nt
Filed under: Cricetulus griseus (Chinese hamster)
Lineage: Eukaryota; Metazoa; Chordata; Mammalia; Rodentia; Cricetidae
Description: lncRNA (ENSCGRG00015027262.2)
Source: RNAcentral